Molecule: ribosomal RNA, 432 nt
Filed under: uncultured bacterium
Lineage: Bacteria
Description: partial 16S ribosomal RNA
Rfam family: Bacterial small subunit ribosomal RNA
Source: RNAcentral
AACGAACGCUGGCGGCAUGCCUAACACAUGCAAGUCGAACGAUCCCUUCGGGGAUAGUGGCGCACGGGUGCGUAACGCGUGGGAACCUGCCCUUAGGUUCGGAAUAACUCAGAGAAAUUUGAGCUAAUACCGGAUAAUGUCUUCGGACCAAAGAUUUAUCGCCUUUGGAUGGGCCCGCGUUGGAUUAGCUAGUUGGUGGGGUAAAGGCCUACCAAGGCGACGAUCCAUAGCUGGUCUGAGAGGAUGAUCAGCCACACUGGGACUGAGACACGGCCCAGACUCCUACGGGAGGCAGCAGUGGGAAUAUUGGACAAUGGGCGAAAGCCUGAUCCAGCAAUGCCGCGUGAGUGAUGAAGGCCUUAGGGUUGUAAAGCUCUUUUACCCGGGAUGAUAAUGACAGUACCGGGAGAAUAAGCCCCGGCUAACUCCGUG